AUUGAACGCUAGCGGGAUGCCUUACACAUGCAAGUCGAACGGAGUGGCGAACGGGUGAGGAAUGUAACGGAACGUGCCCAGUAGCGGGGGAUAACUACGCGAAAGCGUAGCUAAUACCGCAUACUAUUGGAGUGGCCGAUACCGGGUUAGCUAGUGGGUGGGGUAACGGCCCACCAAGGCGACGAUCCCUAGCUGGUUUGAGAGGACGACCAGCAACACUGGAACUGAGACACGGUCCAGACUCCUACGGGAGGCAGCAGUGGGGAAUAUUGGACAAUGGGGGAAAGCCUGAUGCAGCCAUCCCGCGUGUGCGAUGAAGGCCUUCGGGUUGUAAAGCACUUUUAGCAGGAAAGCGGUACCUGCAGAAUAAGCACCGGCUAACUACGUGCCAGCAGCCGCGGUAAUAC
RNAcentral lists this ribosomal RNA (407 nucleotides) under uncultured bacterium. RNAcentral's name for it is "partial 16S ribosomal RNA". It matches the Rfam family "Bacterial small subunit ribosomal RNA", at positions 30 to 526 of the family's 1533-position model. The record is from RNAcentral.